AAACACUGCAUCAGUGUUGGUGCCUGCCUCGGCAGGUGAAAAGGGAAUGUGCAGCCGCGCGCUAUCGCGGCCAAAGACAGCCGCCCCCGCGACCGUAAACGGAAAGGCCGAUCACAGCCACUGGCAUACGCCGGGAAGGCAGAUCGGGCGUAGGGCCAGCUGCCCUGAAUCCGCCAGCCGGGAGACCUGCCAACAUAAAAGGACGAAA
Molecule: non-coding RNA, 208 nt
Filed under: Roseovarius nanhaiticus
Lineage: Bacteria; Pseudomonadati; Pseudomonadota; Alphaproteobacteria; Rhodobacterales; Roseobacteraceae
Source: RNAcentral